RNAcentral lists this transfer RNA (65 nucleotides) under Choroterpides apiculata (nomen nudum). Its description in RNAcentral is "tRNA-His". Lineage: Eukaryota; Metazoa; Arthropoda; Insecta; Diptera; Culicidae. The record is from RNAcentral.
AUUCUAAUAGUUUAUAAAAAAAUAUUAGUUUGUGGUGCUAAAGAAAUAAUUUAUUAUUUAGAAUA